CCUACGGGAGGCUGCAGUGGGGAAUAUUGGACAAUGGGCGAAAGCCUGAUCCAGCCAUGCCGCGUGUGUGAAGAAGGCCUUCGGGUUGUAAAGCACUUUCAGUGGGGAAGAAAGCCUUGGGGCUAAUACCCUCGAGGAAGGACAUCACCCACAGAAGAAGCACCGGCUAACUCCGUGCCAGCAGCCGCGGUAAUACGGAGGGUGCGAGCGUUAAUCGGAAUUACUGGGCGUAAAGCGCGCGUAGGCGGUCUGAUAAGCCGGUUGUGAAAGCCCCGGGCUCAACCUGGGAACGGCAUCCGGAACUGGCAGGCUAGAGUGCAGGAGAGGAAGGUAGAAUUCCCGGUGUAGCGGUGAAAUGCGUAGAGAUCGGGAGGAAUACCAGUGGCGAAGGCGGCCUUCUGGACUGACACUGACGCUGAGGUGCGAAAGCGUGGGUAGCAAACAGGAUUAGAUACCCUUGUAGUC
Molecule: ribosomal RNA, 465 nt
Filed under: Vreelandella stevensii
Lineage: Bacteria; Pseudomonadati; Pseudomonadota; Gammaproteobacteria; Oceanospirillales; Halomonadaceae
Description: partial 16S ribosomal RNA
Rfam family: Bacterial small subunit ribosomal RNA
Source: RNAcentral